AUUGAACGCUGGCGGCAGGCCUAACACAUGCAAGUCGAGCGAGCGGCGGACGGGUGAGUAAUGUUGGGGACUGCCCGAUAGAGGGGGAUAACUACUGGGAACGGUGGCUAAUACCGCAUCCUAUCGGAUAACCCAUAUGGGAUUAGCUCGUAGGUGGGGUAAAGGCUCACCUAGGCGACGAUCUCGAGCUGGUCUGAGAGGAUGAUCAGCCACCGUGGGACUGGGACCCGGCCCAGAAUCCUACGGAGGCAGCAGGGGGGAAUAUUGCACAAUGGGAGCAAGCCUGAUGCUGGCAUGCCGCGUGGAUGAAGAAGGCCUUAGGGUUGUAAAGUACUUGCAGCGGGGAGGCGUUACCCGCAGAAGAAGCACCGGCUAACUCCGUGCCAGCAGCCGCGGUAAUUC
RNAcentral lists this ribosomal RNA (402 nucleotides) under uncultured bacterium. RNAcentral describes it as "partial 16S ribosomal RNA". It matches the Rfam family "Bacterial small subunit ribosomal RNA", at positions 29 to 526 of the family's 1533-position model. The record is from RNAcentral.